GUCUGCGGCCACGCCACCCUGAACACGCCCGAUCCGGCUGAUCUCCGACGCUAAGCAGGGUCGGGCCUGGUGAGUACUUGGAUGGGAGACCGCCCGGGAAGACCAGGUGCAGUAGGUG
RNAcentral lists this ribosomal RNA (118 nucleotides) under Pteropus vampyrus (large flying fox). Lineage: Eukaryota; Metazoa; Chordata; Mammalia; Chiroptera; Pteropodidae. The record is from RNAcentral.